RNAcentral lists this ribosomal RNA (423 nucleotides) under uncultured bacterium. RNAcentral's name for it is "partial 16S ribosomal RNA". It matches the Rfam family "Bacterial small subunit ribosomal RNA", at positions 360 to 774 of the family's 1533-position model. The record is from RNAcentral.
AAUCUUCCGCAAUGGACGAAAGUCUGACGGAGCGAUGCCGCGUGAGUGAUGAAGGUCUUCGGAUCGUAAAACUCUGUUGUUAGGGAAGAACAAGUAUCGGAGUAAUAUGCCGGUACCUUGACGGUACCCAUGGAGGAAGCCCCGGCUAACUACGUGCCAGCAGCCGCGGUAAUACGUAGGGGGCAAGCGUUGUCCGGAAUUAUUGGGCGUAAAGGGUGCGUAGGCGGCCUUUUAAGUCAGAUGUGAAAGCCCACGGCUCAACCGUGGGAUUGCAUUUGAAACUGGAGGGCUUGAGUAUCGGAGAGGGUAGUGGAAUUCCCAGUGUAGCGGUGAAAUGCGUAGAUAUUGGGAGGAACACCAGUGGCGAAGGCGACUACCUGGACGAUUACUGACGCUGAUGCACGAAAGCUAGGGGAGCAAACA